AUUGAACGCUGGCGGCAUGCCUUACACAUGCAAGUCGAACGGCAGCACGGGGGCAACCCUGGUGGCGAGUGGCGAACGGGUGAGUAACAUAUCGGAACAUACCCUAGAGUGGGGAUAACGUAGCGAAAGUUACGCUAAUACCGCAUACGCCCUACGGGGGAAAGGGGGGAUCUUCGGACCUCUCGCUAUCAGAUGAGCCCAUGUCAGAUUAGCUAGUUGGUGAGGUAAAGGCUCACCAAGGCGACGAUCUGUAACUGGUCUGAGAGGAUGAUCAGUCACACUGGAACUGAGACACGGUCCAGACUCCUACGGGAGCAGCAGUGGGGAAUAUUGGACAAUGGGGGCAACCCUGAUCCAGCCAUGCCGCGUGUGUGAAGAAGGCCCUAGGGUUGUAAAGCACUUUCAGUGGGGAGAAAGGUUAUUCACCUAAUACGUGAGUAGAUUGAUGUUACCCACAGAAGAAGCACCGGCUAACUCCGUGCCAGCAGCCGCGGUAAUCG
This 500-nucleotide ribosomal RNA is filed under the name uncultured bacterium. Its description in RNAcentral is "bacterial SSU rRNA". It matches the Rfam family "Bacterial small subunit ribosomal RNA", at positions 30 to 527 of the family's 1533-position model. The record is from RNAcentral.